AUAAGAUGGCUGAGGAUAAGCGUUAGAUUGUAAAUCUAAGAACAAGUUUUACUUUCUUAUUAA
Molecule: transfer RNA, 63 nt
Filed under: Engaeus lyelli
Lineage: Eukaryota; Metazoa; Arthropoda; Malacostraca; Decapoda; Parastacidae
Description: tRNA-Tyr
Source: RNAcentral